Molecule: long non-coding RNA, 1791 nt
Organism: Carassius gibelio (silver crucian carp)
Lineage: Eukaryota; Metazoa; Chordata; Actinopteri; Cypriniformes; Cyprinidae
Exons: 6
Source: RefSeq, a predicted model, not a curated record
UAACGUUACUAUUGUUAGAAGCAUAGUUAGUUAGUAGCAUAGUAUUGCAUCAGUUAGGAUAGCUUCAAGUUAGCGUAGAGUUAUCUGUAUUUAGUACAGUGGUCAGGAUGGUAUGUAGGUGUAGUGUUGCUGGUUGCGACAGCACUGCUGGACUGCAUAGUUUUCCAGCAUACUUUAAAAUUAGGCGCCAGUGGUUGCAUGCACUUAGCCUGGAAGAACGCUAGUUCCCGUAUUGGCAUAGACAGUAAAAGAAAUGGAUACAGCGACCCCAUUGGAUUCAACGGAGAAAAAUGAAGUCAAUUAGAAGCACUUUCUUCCUGGGGGUCGGGCGUACUGCUCAGACUCAAACUGAGCUUGAUGAUGUAAAUGUCACGCGAGAAACCUGUGCGUCUUCUAAUCGCUGUGCCAAGAGAAAUCUGAAUCACCCACCGAAUCUUGCAGAGAAGGCGAGCGUGAACAGGAGCACAUUUUGGUAAGUAUUCUGAUUGAUUAUCUCCCUUGACUUCAUGCCUCCACGUCCCCCCGAUAGCCUCAUAGACAGUAAAAGAUUGCCUGCGAGCUUCUCCUCCUGUCCAUACGGUAAUUUCUCUACUGUGUGACAGAGAGUCGCUGGUUAUGAUGCAAUCGUUAGCCUAUUUUUUACAAAAACUGCUUCUAGGGGAACAUAACGUAAGAUACAAGGUAAUUAAGCCUUUUAUACAUUUUCGUGUUUCUUUAGAAAUAAUUAAUAGACAAAUGGAGUCUUUAAACGCCUCAGAUGUAAAGUUAUUCGCUGUCAAAGUGACGCCAAAAUGAAUGGGAGUCAAUGGAAUGCUAACAGCAGGUGGGGGUCCACUAGCCAAUGGCGGCGCUCAGAGGUGCUUAAAAAAAAUAUGAAACCCUGCCCCCCUGCAUAUUGGAGAUAUAUUAUGGAAUUACAUUUGUUUCAGUAAUAAUGAAUGAACCUUAUAAAACUGAACGUAACUUUUUCAAAAAAAAAAAAAAAAAAAAAAAACGAAAAAAAUUAACUCAGUCGCACAAAUGUAACAGGCUCUUCAAAUAUACUUCAUUCUUUGUUAAUGUUUUUCAAAGAUUCGUUUUCGAUAAUCAUGGAUUAUGAAUUCAUUGCCACAGAUUUCGCUUACGUUUUGCAGUUUUUUGUUUGGUGUUUUUACACAAACCUCUCGUGGGGGCAGGCUUAAAAGUAAUCUACUCUGAUUGGAUAGUGAGCUUUUGAUGAACAGGUGCUCUCUGACCGGGAAGUACAUACGCCACCCAGUGCAGACCCGCAGCACCACCAGCGCUGCCAGGACCCUGCCGUGAGGACCCGGCUGCCAGGACCGGAAGUGAGCGGUGGAGUUGUCUUAAGACACAAGCACGGCGGAGAGCAUGUAAGAUGACAGCCACAAUUUCACUUGGCAAAUGGCUGCUACUGAAAAACAAGCUUUUUUUUUCAGGGUAUCCCACAACAGAUUGGGGGGGGGUUGACUGUGGAUGUUUCAUGUUGAUGUAUGCUCUACAUCUUGUCAUGGGAGCACCCUUUGAUUUUACAUCUUGCGACUUUCCAAACAUUCGGAGGUGGUGGUCUAAUUCUUCUAGAAAACUUUGGGGGUUUCUCUGAAAGCAUGCAUCAAGACGCGGGCAGACGGACGGGCGUCAGCACUGGGGGGAGCACUGGAAACACUGGAAACGCUGGGCACAGUGGGCGCUGGCUGCUCAGGAGGGAUGGACUCCGAGUGCCCCUCCUGAGCAGUGGAUGUUUCGGCUGUUGUGCCAUAUGAGUCUAAAUAAAAAGGCACAUGUUAACUGUAA